This 254-nucleotide ribosomal RNA is filed under the name uncultured bacterium. Its description in RNAcentral is "partial 16S ribosomal RNA". It matches the Rfam family "Bacterial small subunit ribosomal RNA", at positions 524 to 776 of the family's 1533-position model. The record is from RNAcentral.
CACGUAGGGGGCGAGCGUUGUCCGGAUUUAUUGGGCGUAAAGAGCUCGUAGGCGGCUCGGUAAGUCAGGUGUGAAAACUCUAGGCUCAACCUAGAGACGCCACCUGAUACUGCCGUGGCUAGAGUCCGGUAGGGGAGCAUGGAAUUCCUGGUGUAGCGGUGAAAUGCGCAGAUAUCAGGAAGAACACCCGUGGCGAAGGCGGCUCUCUGGGACAGUACUGACGCUGAGACGCGAAAGCGUGGGGAGCGAACAGG